UUUUUUUUUUUUUAAACAGUCUUUCUUGCUGUAAGAACUCUUAUAAUGGAGCCUAGUCCUCCAACAGCUAAAGCCUGUGGAGACAGGAAAAGGAAACACGUCAAAUGGUACCUGACUGGCCAGAAGGGAGCUUCACUCACCUGGAGAUGAGGACACAUAUUCCCAGACCUCAAUCCCACCAUGUCACAGGCUUGCUGAGAGAGAUCAAGUUCUAGGGAGAGCCCUGUCUUAGAGCCAAGGGUCCCAAAAGCUUACAGCUCUUGAAGCAAUAAAACUGGCUUGGGAUCACUGUCCCCAAGCAUCCAACAAAGCCUGAGUUUCCCUGUAACAUGCUCUGCUUCUACCUGCCAGCACCUGCCUAUCCCUGGAAACACAUGGCAGCCCAUAGAGAACUACCUACUGACAGGGUGACAUCAAAAGCACCUCACAGGGUUGAAAAGGCCUAACCGUCUCACCACCAACAGCAAUUCCUGAACCCAAGCAAAGAUGAAGCUUAAAAAGUCAGCACCCCAACAGGGCCAGAAGCCACAGCCCAACACUUUGCUGGAAACUGACCUACCAGUAAAAACAGCAUUCUUAAAAACUCAGCGCUGCCAAGGGAUAUAGUUCAAUACAAGAUCACUUGCCUAACACAUACCAGAACCCCAGUUCUGUCUCUACCACAGGAAAAAUAUCUCAGGCUGGAGAUGUACUUCGGUUGGUGGAAUAUCCUCUCAGCAAGCAUUAAGACCAGGAUUCCAUCCCCAGCACCAUGUAAAAUUCAGUAUGGUAUUAUAUGCCUGCAAUCUCUAUCUACAUUAAGAUUAAAAGUUUAAAGUCAUCCCCAAUUUAAAAACAAAUUUGUGGCCAACCUGAGCUACAUGAGACUUUAUCUCAUGCUGAACCACUGACAAGAACUGUGUUCAUCAGUCUGGAACCCAUAAGUGCUGGGUGUAUUUACUGAAGUGUUACAGGGCUGCAGGUGGUGUGCAGCUGACAGACAGGACAAAAGUUUGACACAUGCCUUGGUCCUCUAUCCUUCAAGUAAAGGACAAAAAAAAUUUUUUUGCUUCCAGUGAAUGAAAGCUAUAAUAAAUGACUCCAAUUUCUGCCAA
Molecule: long non-coding RNA, 1094 nt
Filed under: Rattus norvegicus (Norway rat)
Lineage: Eukaryota; Metazoa; Chordata; Mammalia; Rodentia; Muridae
Description: long non-coding RNA NONRATT019260
Source: RNAcentral